Acanthosepion pharaonis is the source of this 109-nucleotide non-coding RNA. NCBI's taxonomy places the organism in Eukaryota, Metazoa, Mollusca, Cephalopoda, Sepiida, Sepiidae. The record is from the annotation of a GenBank genome assembly.
UACGGCCAUAUAUUGAAACACCGGUUCCCGUAUAAUCACCGAAGUUAAGCAACGCUGAUCAUGGUUAGUACCUAGAUGGGCGACCGCUUAAGAAUACCAGAUGCUGUUA